Molecule: long non-coding RNA, 1532 nt
Organism: Pogoniulus pusillus (Red-fronted tinkerbird)
Lineage: Eukaryota; Metazoa; Chordata; Aves; Piciformes; Lybiidae
Exons: 2
Source: RefSeq, a predicted model, not a curated record
UGCUGGACUUGAUUGCUCUACUGUUUUGAGUAACAGCAGCCAGAGUUGUAGUCUCUUGUACUUGAAGGACUGCAAGAAAUCUCAGACUACUGGAGAUUCUUUCUAGAUGAAUACUACUUUGGCCCCUUCAUCUGAGAGCAAGAUAAAUCCAUGAUAACAGCACUAAAAGCUCCUGUAAAACAUGUAUUGCUAUGCAUAGAAACACACUCGAGUGUGUGCUUGUGGGUUUUUUGUUUGCUUGGGUUUAUGGUGGGUUUUUCUCAUUCACUGCAAUAUUUUUCCUCUAUUCCUCUGUUUUAAAGUAACAUAUUUGCUUAGAAAGAGUCAAUUUAUAUACUUUAUUUGCUACAAUUUUCUGGAUGAGAUGACUUGCUGUUCCUCUUUUUUAAUUCCUACUUAUCCAUGCACUGAAUGAUACUUAAAAUGAGGUUGAUGCCUUUAUUGUUUGCUCCUUCAGAACCAGCUGCAAGUUUAAAGUCUGAGCUUUUUGAAGUGACCAUAGUGGCUUUAACAAUGUAUUUUCUCUCUGCAAAUGAGACUGAUUUCACAGUAUUAAUCUAUGAAUAUCUGUCUGGAGAGAUCUUAUUUCUUUGGCGCUAGCUGAAGGGUACGAAAUACUCUUCCCCUUGCAGCAUUUCAAUGUUUUAUAAGCUCCAACUGACACUAUCAUGUUAAAAUCUGAAUUUCUUCCAAAUGUGAAGUUGACAGUAUGAGCUGCUAAUUUACAGUACUUCAGCUGUGCCAAGUGAUAGUGACUUUUUGCCUAAAUUACUUUCUCUGAACUAGUUUAACAUUAUUCCAUGGGAACCAGUCAGAGUUGUGUGCUAUAUUUGGAUGAUCUUACUUUGGUUGUUUGAGGUCUUCAAUAUUUACCAAGCAACUAACUUAAGCCUCAUUCUUCCAUUUUAUAUUUAAGGGGAAAAGCAAAUGUAGUUCAAUUGUUGAUUUGACACUACAGAAAUGUUUUGUGGCUGGAUUCCAGUGCAGCUUUCAGGAUGUGUAUGAUGAAUUUGAAUCUCUGCUCUGCUAAGACCUAGCCUGGAGUACUGUGUCCAGCUCUGGAACCCUCAACACAGGAAGGAUAUGAACCUGAUGGAGAAGGUCCAGAGGAGGGCCAUGGCACUGCAGAUUGUAGAAAGAGGAAAACACAAAUCCUCCCUUGCAGCCAAUCGAAAGAACAAAGGUGCUACUAGAACAUCUGGAUACUUUUGGAUCACAGGAUGUUAGGGGUUGGAAGGGAUCUAUGGAGAUUAUCAAGUCCAAUCCUCCUUCCAGAGCACUACCAUCAUCUGUGGGAAUGGAGUGAAGAAGAAAAAUAACAGACAGAUUAUGACCUUGGUUCUCACAAGCAGCUGGCUAACUUAUCUCAGAAGGGAUAGAUAACAGACACCCCGUUAAUGAGGAAAGCAAGGUGUGGUUCAUGCUGAUGGAGUGGGUUGUCCUUGACUAAUUAUGCUAAUGUAUAGGUGUGUGCUCUAUGCCCUGAGGGUAUAUAUUGAGAGCCGAAUGAUCAAUAAACGUCUCUGGCAUCA